AUGCCUCGGGCUGCUUUUUGCCCACCUCGGUCGUCCUAUCCACAUGGGCCGGCCCGGCAGCGGCUAGCAGCAAAAUCGCCAGCGCCGUGUGAUGCCUGGGUUCCUGCCGCGGACAGUGGCGCGUUCUGCCCUUGCGAGAUGGCGGCGGCGAGUAUGCCACCGUCGAAGAAGAAGAGGGUGGAGGGCAUGCCCUCCAAGAGCCUGAUGGUCGCCGUCGCAAGCGCCUCAACAACCGUGAACCGUCUCUCCAUGCUACGCUCCGUCAUGCCCAGGAUCAUCAAGAUUGACAGAAUGUCGAUCCUGGGGACGCGAUCGACUACAUGA
RNAcentral lists this ribosomal RNA (324 nucleotides) under Triticum aestivum (bread wheat). RNAcentral's name for it is "partial small subunit ribosomal RNA". The record is from RNAcentral. Lineage: Eukaryota; Viridiplantae; Streptophyta; Magnoliopsida; Poales; Poaceae.